This 465-nucleotide ribosomal RNA is filed under the name Vreelandella stevensii. RNAcentral describes it as "partial 16S ribosomal RNA". It matches the Rfam family "Bacterial small subunit ribosomal RNA", at positions 338 to 795 of the family's 1533-position model. Lineage: Bacteria; Pseudomonadati; Pseudomonadota; Gammaproteobacteria; Oceanospirillales; Halomonadaceae. The record is from RNAcentral.
CCUACGGGGGGCAGCAGUGGGGAAUAUUGGACAAUGGGGGCAACCCUGAUCCAGCCAUGCCGCGUGUGUGAAGAAGGCCCUCGGGUUGUAAAGCACUUUCAGUGAGGAAGAACGCCUGGUGGUUAAUACCCAUCAGGAAAGACAUCACUCACAGAAGAAGCACCGGCUAACUCCGUGCCAGCAGCCGCGGUAAUACGGAGGGUGCGAGCGUUAAUCGGAAUUACUGGGCGUAAAGCGCGCGUAGGUGGCUUGAUAAGCCGGUUGUGAAAGCCCCGGGCUCAACCUGGGAACGGCAUCCGGAACUGUCAAGCUAGAGUGCAGGAGAGGAAGGUAGAACUCCCGGUGUAGCGGUGAAAUGCGUAGAGAUCGGGAGGAAUACCAGUGGCGAAGGCGGCCUUCUGGACUGACACUGACACUGAGGUGCGAAAGCGUGGGUAGCAAACAGGAUUAGAUACCCCAGUAGUC